This 588-nucleotide RNase P RNA is filed under the name Chlamydiota bacterium. Its description in RNAcentral is "Chlamydiae bacterium (groundwater metagenome) RNase P RNA component class A". It matches the Rfam family "Bacterial RNase P class A". Rfam says of the family: Ribonuclease P (RNase P) is a ubiquitous endoribonuclease, found in archaea, bacteria and eukarya as well as chloroplasts and mitochondria. Its best characterised activity is the generation of mature 5'-ends of tRNAs by cleaving the 5'-leader elements of precursor-tRNAs. Lineage: Bacteria; Pseudomonadati; Chlamydiota. The record is from RNAcentral.
AGAGUAAGCGGGAAGAUCGCCCCCCCACCUGUUGCGAUGGCCGUUUAGGCCAUCCAGCAGAGCGUUGCGUUGUUUUAGCAACGCUGCAACAGGUGGGGGGGAGGAAAGUCCGAACUCCACAGGGCAAGGCGUUUGAUGUUAAAUCAGACCUCUCAUUUCAGAUGAGAGAGGGAAAGUGCCACAGAGACAAUACUACCCCGACGUGACGUCUGGGGAAAGGUGAAAAGAGAGGAGAUGUCCUUCGGGGCUACUCUUCUCCCCCCCACCUGUUGCGAUGGCCGUUUGGGCCAUUCAGCAAAGCGUUGCGUUGCUUUAGCAACGCUGCAACAGCUGGGGGGGUGGAAAACCCCGCCUGGAGCGAGAUCAAAUAGAGGACGAGGGGGCUGCCCGCCCAUUGUUCCGACCUAACGUCGGGGCGAGUCCCGGGUGUGAUCGCACGAGAGAAAUGAUCUUCGCCCAGCCUAUUUAAAAAGGUGGCGUUGCGAAAAAUAGAAUUUUCGAUAGAAUUUAUGUGUGCGAUCGCAAUGGCCAAACAUUAAUUUUAAAAUAGGCUGGGUACAGAAUUCGGCUUACAAGCUUACUCUCUAC